This 77-nucleotide transfer RNA is filed under the name Clostridia bacterium. RNAcentral describes it as "tRNA-His". It matches the Rfam family "tRNA". From Rfam's summary of the family: Transfer RNA (tRNA) molecules are approximately 80 nucleotides in length. Their secondary structure includes four short double-helical elements and three loops (D, anti-codon, and T loops). Lineage: Bacteria; Bacillati; Bacillota; Clostridia. The record is from RNAcentral.
GUGGUUGUAGCUCAGUUGGUUAGAGUGCCUGGUUGUGGCCCAGGAGGUCGUGGGUUCGAAUCCCACCAAUCACCCCA